GCUGCAGCAGAGGGGAAGAAAGCACGCCGCAGGCAGUGCCCUCCGGAAGCCGUGGAAGGGAAGGCGGCUGACUGCUCAUGCAGCGCCAGCACGUCGUCACAGACUCAAACCAGGACGUGCUCUAUGAUGCCAGAUCACAGCUCUAAGAAUCAGGAUGGAAGCAAAAGGUUCCCCUGAGAAGACAAAAAGAGAUGUCACAAAGUGUUUGCCCUACAUCUCAGGCAUCUUAGCAUUACCUACGGGCCGAUGGACUCGUUCAGAAAGACUCUCACAUUCCAACAAGAGCAGCAGUCUUGUUUCAAACCCCAGAGUGAAUUAGAAGUGAAGAGAGAUUCUUCUCUGCGCAAGGACAGUGACCAUCGGAAGUGACAGCUGACACUCUGAUAAUCAGAGGCAGAAAAACGACUAAACAGCCACAAAUUCGCAGAAGUCAGCAGUUCGGUUCUCCUGAGCAAAGGGGUGUGGCCUGGUGCUGCUUUGCUUCCUCCCGAUCCAGUCCUCCAAGGUCCACUUACUCUCAAGUCUGG
Molecule: long non-coding RNA, 527 nt
Organism: Lemur catta (Ring-tailed lemur)
Lineage: Eukaryota; Metazoa; Chordata; Mammalia; Primates; Lemuridae
Exons: 3
Source: RefSeq, a predicted model, not a curated record